RNAcentral lists this ribosomal RNA (499 nucleotides) under uncultured bacterium. Its description in RNAcentral is "bacterial SSU rRNA". It matches the Rfam family "Bacterial small subunit ribosomal RNA", at positions 8 to 526 of the family's 1533-position model. The record is from RNAcentral.
AGAGUUUGAUCAUGGCUCAGGAUCAACGCUGGCGGCGUGCAUGAGACAUGCAAGUCGAACGGACGAUCGAGGCUUGCUUCGAUCGUUAGUGGCGGACGGCUGAGUAACGCGUAGGUGACCUGCCCCGAAGUGGGGAAUAACUGCCCGAAAGGGUGGCUAAUACCGCAUGUGGUGGUGUGUUCAAUCACACCAGUAAAGCCGCAAGGCGCUUCGGGAGGGGCCUGCGUCCGAUUAGCUCGUUGGUGGGGUAACGGCUCACCAAGGCGACGAUCGGUAGGUGGUCUGAGAGGACGAUCACCCAGACUGGGACUGAGACACGGCCCAGACUCCUACGGGAGGCAGCAGUCGGGAAUUUUGCGCAAUGGACGAAAGUCUGACGCAGCAACGCCGCGUGAGGGAUGAAGGCCUUCGGGUUGUAAACCUCUUUUGUCAGGGAAGAUAAUGACGGUACCUGACGAAUAAGUCACGGCUAACUACGUGCCAGCCGCCGCGGUAAUUC